UCGAGAAUAAUUCGCAAUGGACGAAAGUCUGACGAUGCGACGCCGCGUGAACGAUGAAGGCCUUCGGGUUGUAACGUUCUGUUGCCCUGGAACAAGAGUUGUUAUUGAAUACGUAACAACGAUGAGCGUACAGGGAGAGGAAGCACCAGCUAAUUCCGUGCCAGCAGCUGCGGUAAUACGGAAGGUGCAAGCGUUAGUCGGAAUUAUUGGGCGUAAAGGGUGCGUAGGCUGUUCUGUAAGUCGGGUGUGAAAUUCCGGGGCUUAACCCCGGAGCUGCAUUCGAUACUGCAGGACUAGAGGAGUGGCGGAGAAAAUGGAAUUCCAUAUGUAGCGGUGAAAUGCGUAGAUAUAUGGAAGAACACCUGUGGCGAAAGCGAUUUUCUAGCUUCUUUCCUGACGCUGAGGCACGAAAGCAAGGGGAGCAAACAGG
Molecule: ribosomal RNA, 430 nt
Filed under: uncultured bacterium
Lineage: Bacteria
Description: bacterial SSU rRNA
Rfam family: Bacterial small subunit ribosomal RNA
Source: RNAcentral